AGUUAUUGGUUCUUUUGGAGGUGUUGCCCACCUAUUUUAUCGAUAAUUAUUUACAAAAUAUUUACAGAAGGAACCACCUUAGGAUGUGGGACCUGAGAAAAAGGAGGUUGAUAUAGGAACAACACUGCCCAUGCAACGUGAUUCUCGAAAUGAAAAGGAAUAGGCAUUUGGUUUUUCUUUCCUUCUCAAUGCUACUCAAACUUGACCUUCUUUAUAACUCCUUGAGUUACUACUUACCAUGAUUCCUCAAGUCCUUCAAGAUGUGAGAGAUCUGUUGACUUGGCCUUCCAAUGGAGAAUGUAGUCCAGCCUUACAGCAGAAAUAUAAUCUCACCUGUCACUAGAAAAGAGGCUCUAGCUUGAAACUGAAAGACCCUUGGAUUCCUCUCCUUCCAUAUACACCAGCAGGCUAUCGAAAAAAGAAUCCUGACAAUUUUUGAUUCCUCUCAUCCAGCAGUCUUCAACUUUACUAUUUGGCAAAGCGAUGUCUAUUUUCUCCUCUAUUAUUUUUCAUAUUUGCUGACUGCAAGGGCAAGCUACAAAUAAAUAGUUCACUAUCUUCUAUAUAUCUAUAUAUAAUAUAUCUAUAUAUCUAUAUAUAAUCUAUAUAUCUAUAUAUAUCCUCUCCAUAUCAGCAGCUUUUGGCCCAAAAUUUUUAACAAAAACAUAUUCUUUUAAAAAUUUUAACAUCAUAUCUUUGUUUCUUAAAAAAACUUCAUUUCCAUAUCAAAAAAUACCUUUAUUAAUAUAUUUUAACAUAAAUGGAUAAUUAAAAAAAAAAGGAGAAAAAAGUACUCUAAUUGGCCACCCUAUUC
Molecule: long non-coding RNA, 814 nt
Filed under: Elaeis guineensis (African oil palm)
Lineage: Eukaryota; Viridiplantae; Streptophyta; Magnoliopsida; Arecales; Arecaceae
Description: long non-coding RNA (EGUI_LNC073586)
Source: RNAcentral